RNAcentral lists this ribosomal RNA (443 nucleotides) under uncultured bacterium. Its description in RNAcentral is "bacterial SSU rRNA". It matches the Rfam family "Bacterial small subunit ribosomal RNA", at positions 338 to 795 of the family's 1533-position model. The record is from RNAcentral.
CCUANGGGAGGCAGCAAUUAGGAAUCUUGCGCAAUGGGCGAAAGCCUGACGCAGCGACGCCGCGUGACUGAUGAAGUCUUUCGGGAUGUAAAGGUCUUUUUUGGGGGAAGAAGGAUGUGACGGUACCCCAAGAAUAAGCCCCGGCUAACUACGUGCCAGCAGCCGCGGUAAUACGUAGGGGGCGAGCGUUGUCCGAAUUCACUGGGCGUAAAGCGCGCGUAGGCGGACUCUUAAGUUGGGGGUGAAAUCCCGAGGCUCAACCUCGGAACUGCCUUCAAAACUGGGAGUCUUGAGGUAUGGAGAGGGAACUGGAAUUCCUGGUGUAGCGGUGAAAUGCGUAGAUAUCAGGAGGAACACCCAUGGCGAAGGCAGGUUCCUGGCCAUAUCCUGACGCUGAGGUGCGAAAGCUAGGGGAGCGAACGGGAUUAGAUACCCUANUANUC